RNAcentral lists this long non-coding RNA (305 nucleotides) under Nicotiana benthamiana. RNAcentral describes it as "long non-coding RNA (NBEN_LNC010625)". The record is from RNAcentral. Lineage: Eukaryota; Viridiplantae; Streptophyta; Magnoliopsida; Solanales; Solanaceae.
AAUGCCAAGGAUGUGUCUCACUGUUGUUGGGAUUCAUUGUGUUGGCAUUUUGCAAAAUGAUGUCCACAGUUGUGUUGAAUUUCAACCUGUAAAUUGAGUUGCUAGUUGUGGCAUUUACAUUCUUCUGGACACUGAAAAUGUCGUAAUUCUCGUGGUUAUAGUAAUGUCCACUGUUGUGUUGAAUUUCAACCUGUAAAUUGAGUUGCUAGUUGUGGCAUUCACAUUCUUCUGGACACUGAAAAUGUCGUAAUUCUCUUGGUUAUAGUUUUCCGGAGGAGGGGUUUGCUCGAAAGUAUGCAAUAAGU